CCUACGGGUGGCAGCAGUGAGGAAUAUUGGUCAAUGGCCGGAAGGCUGAACCAGCCAAGCCGCGUGAAGGACGAAGGUGCCAAGCAUUGUAAACUUCUUUUAUAAAGGAAUAAAGUGAGGCACGUGUGCCUUUUUGUAUGUACUUUAUGAAUAAGGAUCGGCUAACUCCGUGCCAGCAGCCGCGGUAAUACGGAGGAUCCGAGCGUUAUCCGGAUUUUUUGGGUUUAAAGGGAGCGUAGAUGGGUUGUUAAGUCAGUUGGGAAAGUUUGCGGCUCAACCGUAAAAUUGCAAUUGAUACUGGCAGUCUUGAGUACAGUUGAGGUAGGCGGAAUUCGUGGUGUAGCGGUGAAAUGCUUAGAUAUCACGAAGAACUCCGAUUGCGAAGGCAGCUUACUAAACUGCCACUGACAUUGAUGCUCGAAAGUGUGGGUAUCAAACAGGAUUAGAUACCCCUGUAGUC
Molecule: ribosomal RNA, 460 nt
Filed under: uncultured bacterium
Lineage: Bacteria
Description: partial 16S ribosomal RNA
Rfam family: Bacterial small subunit ribosomal RNA
Source: RNAcentral